GUAAAAAGGUCCGUGAGGGAAAGAUGAAAAGGAUUUUGGAAAGAGAGUUAAACAGUACGUGAAAUUGUUGAAAGGGAAACGAUUGAAGUCAGUCGUGACCGAGAGGCUCAGCCGGUUCUGCCGGUGUAUUCCCCUCGGUCGGGUCAACAUCAGUUUUGUCCGGUGGACAAGAGCGGUAGGAAGGAGGCACCCUCGGGUGUGAAUGACCUGCCGUCGCAUACUCGG
This 225-nucleotide ribosomal RNA is filed under the name Papiliotrema laurentii. Its description in RNAcentral is "partial large subunit ribosomal RNA". It matches the Rfam family "Eukaryotic large subunit ribosomal RNA", at positions 341 to 577 of the family's 3401-position model. Lineage: Eukaryota; Fungi; Basidiomycota; Tremellomycetes; Tremellales; Rhynchogastremaceae. The record is from RNAcentral.